UAUACUGAGGGAAGAAAGUCAUGGCCCAAACCAAGACGUAGCUUGAGGGGAAGCAGAGCCGUGGCAUCAGGGACACUCUCCAGAUUUGUCUGGUCUGAGGCCCUCAGAGUCCCCCUGGUGUGUAAGGAGACCAGUCGGGGGACAGCGGUGGUUUCUGAGCUUGCAGUGAAGGAGAGGGAGGCUGGACCACAACUGGAGGACAAGACAUCCUCUCCAUCUCAGCCAUCCCAGACGGGUAAGCCAGGCUCCCCUAGAUAUCCCAGCACUGCUGAGCCAACCCCAGACAGAAGAACUGCUCAGCCCCUCACAGGUUGCGCGAGACAACAGGUGACUGAGAACGUCGGCCAACAGCGCUCCAGGUCCAGAGGCAUCCGCUCAGUCCUGUGGAUUCGGAGACUCGGGAUACCUGGGAUGAGUAACUGGAUUCCAGCAGCCUCUGUCCUCUGGGAGGCGGGGUCAGAUCCAGCCUAGGCCCUGCACCUGUGCAGGGUGUAACAUCGCCGGGGGGCAUACAUUCGCCUAUGCAUUCCCUUCUUGGCUGUGGUCACCCCAGGCCAUCCCUUCAGGCUCUGUACUCCGUGAAGCUCAUCACUGCGUCUAAAGAAACUCCUCAGACAGCUCAGGUUCUCCCUGCCAAGGCAGGACCAGCUGAAGAAGGAUCUGGAGCUGGAAGGGCCUAGGGAGGGGUGACAGGGACAGCGGUGGUCCCUUUCAGUUCCCAGGCUCCAGCUGCUCCCGGAUCCUCUGAGCAGCAUAGGGUCCCUGCAGCUCCUGCUUUCCCAGGGUCUAGAGCCGUGCCUGGCACUCAGCGGCCUCACAGCAAAUACACCUUGACUGGGGACGGGCAUUGUGGAGAGGGGCAGGGGGGCUCUCAGCGCUCUGGAGCGCCCUGUUUUCCUCCUACAACAGCCAGGGGUGGGGGCAGGGAAGCAAGUGCAGGGUGUCUCCAAGGUUCUCAACCUCACUCCUGCUACCCCUGCCUCCCCCAGCUCCAGCCUGUUACCACAGCUUCCCUCCCGUCCUCCAUCUUUUGAUGUUAAGAUGCACAUACAAGGUCUCAUCAGUGGUCUUAAGAAUCAGUCUUCCACUAAAGAAAUAAAUCUCUAAGAUGACAGACCUCAGGCAUCAACAAGAGAAAAGAAAGCCUGUCUUGGGGAGGGGGUGACAAUGGGGACUUCCAGAGGCAUAGAAAAUUCCCUUGAGACCCAGCUCCCCCACCAGCCUCACCCAGAGCAUCCUGUGUUAGCUCGAUGGCACUGACAGGGAGUGACCCAGAGCCUCGAUGAGGCCCAUCUGAGUAUGAAAGCUGAUGACACGGAUGCGGGGGCCCUAGGGUGCCUUUCUUCUCAGCACAGCCCCUGACUGCAGCCAGUCCAGUGGUGAGCGGUCAGCAGUCAGGGAGUGUGGCUGCCUGGGUGUGUGGCCGUGGGAGGGGGAGGCUGGGCUGUGAAAACAGACGAUGUCAAUUUCAGGCAGCAUUUGGGGAGAAUACUGUUCCACUUGCUCAUUCUUCUUAGUACUCCCCCCAAAACUUGAUUCGAUCAGCCGUGGAUGAGAAAGGCCUGUUACCAUAGCAACGCCACUGUGAGAAUGAAAAAAAUCAGCAACAGAGCAGGCUGGGUUCUCAUCUGGAAGCAGGCACCCAGAGGGUAAAGAAACAGAGCAAAUCCCGGGCGACCCUGAGCCCACCAUGCUCCCUGUGGUUGAACUUCCAUCCCACUUGGGACCCCAGGAAAGGCACAGGGCGCCCCCAAGAUGAUUAUGCCGAGGGACACACACCUGCUCAUUGCCUGGUUUCUAUUAAGCCAGCCUGGACUCUUUAGUCCUAUGUUUAUUUUCAUGGCUGAUGUAACCCAUGCAGACUGAUGAAUCUGCAUGCUUCUUUUGCUUAUGUUGUUUCCUGUUUAGUGGAACGCGUUCAGUAUUUCUGUGCAUAUUCAUUUCUUAUCUGAUGCUGCCAAAGGGAACCAUGGCCCUUACUUCCUCUUUCAAGGCCAUGGCCUGGACAAGGUUCACAGUAAAAGGGAGAAAACCUUUGUGAAAGAUGAAGGGUUUUGGUCCAGCCUCUACACCCUCCUGAAGUUGGACAAGCUGGAGUUUCUAAAGAGAAAUCAUUGGCUGGCUGGACUCAGUGUCCCAGCCCAGGGCCAGAAUGAGAUGUUCAGGAAAGGUGUUUCUAGGAGGCAUGUGGCUUUGAAAAUUUCCAAGUCUGGACUUGAAGAUUUGAGAUAAAGUGACCCUCCUACCUUUCUCAAGCUCUCUUUCUGCUGGUUUCCUCAGAGAUCCAGCUACCAGCCUAUCUCUGGGCCUGGCCAGAACUAAUAGCCCUGGGUUUGGAAAAAUCCCCCAGUAUAACCUCCUCCAAGGGUUUUACCCUUCGCUCAGAACUCCACUGGGCGUUUUAAAGUAGAUUGAAUCCAUAUGUUUCUGAUUCAUUUACACUUUACUCAUCAGAAUGUUCCCUUUUUUAUGAGUGAUUUGUUGUCUUAAGAUGCCUUUGCAGUCCUGUUUAUAAGCAUGUCUUUCCCCCUUAGAAACAAGAUACUGUGUCUUGUUAAGCAUGGGGGUAGGGGAGGUGGUAAAAAUGUAGCUUCAGGUCUGAGUUUGUUUUGGGUCACAAGAGGAAAUGCAAUGUUUCAGCAGAGCUCUUUGAUUUAAGUGUCAAGAGAUUUGUCUUUUCUGCUCAGAGCAUUGGGCUUCAAAGUGAAUAUCCAUCCCCUCCUCCUAGAUUGAAAACUCAGCUUCUCUGAGCUGAGAAGCUCAGAGAAGCCAUAGGCUGGUCACUUAAUCUCUUUUCUCCUCAAAUCCUUCAUCUGUAAAAUGGGGAUAACAGUGCUCCCUGCCUCACAGGGCUGUUGUAGUAAUAACGUGUUGCGGCUGUUAUAAAAGUGGGAGUCAUACAGAAUUAGGCAGAGUUCCUUUAAACAGUGCCAAGCCCGUGCAUUCUCUAUCCUUUCCAUCAAUAUGCCACCCCUCUGAUCCACUUUGCUCCAAUGAAUCCUCCAGGACUCAGCUCAAAUAUCACCUAUCGUAAGACCUUCUCUGCUCACCAGUCUUGACUGACAUUUUCUCCUCUGUGUCCCUGCAGCAUCUUACACAUGUCAGUCUCAUCACUUGGCUUUUUGUUUCUCUAACUUGACUUCACCCCAAAGAAACUGACAUCUCCUUGAGGACAGUAAAGUGAUUUUAUCUUGGUUUGACCAAUAGGAGGUGCUCAACAACAGUUUGAAAUUAAGGAGAUAAAAUCAGAGAAGGGGACACGAUGGUGCUUGCUCCUUUUUGUACUCAGGAUGAAUCCAGUUAGCUCUAUUUUGUGAAAACUCUGGCUUUACAAGGAGACAGAUGGAGUAAAGCAGUGGAGACACUGUCUCCAACGUGAGUGGGGUAGGGGGUGGCCAGAGAGAGAAAGGAACCAGAGAAGACUUAGGAUUUGAACCAUAGAGGCAAAGCCAAGUUUCCUGGAGAAGGUGGAGAGUUCAUUUUGGGAUGUGCUGAACAUAACACUCAUGUUAAAAUAUCUUGCAAAAUAUGGACGCGUGGGCUGGAGAAAGUUUGGAGCUACAGAUGUUGAAACACCGAGGGAACAUCUGAAGUCAGUGUGGGUCAUACCAUCCAGGAAGCAUGGUCUCUGAGGCCUUGGAACAUAAACUGUCAGCCAGUAUCAUUUUUUCUAGACACUUAGAGUAUAAAGUUAGGUUGUUCAUUAGAGACCUUUCCAUAGCAUUUACAGCUAUAAAUUUCCCUCUUAACACUGCUUUCACUGCAUCCCAUAAGUUCUGGUAUGUCGUGUUUUCAUUUUCACUUGUCUCAAGGUAUUUUCCCAAUUUCCCUUGUGAUUUCUUUUUUGACUCAUUGGUUGUUGAAAAGUAUGCUGUUUAAUUUCCACAUAUUUGUGGAUUUUUGAGUUUUCCUUCUGCUAUUGAUUUCUAAUUUCAUUCCACUGUGGUUGGAAAAGAUACUUCGUAUGAUUUCAGUCUUUUUAAAACUCUAUUAAGACUUGUUUGGGGGCCUGUCCUGGACAUUGUUCCUUGUGCAAUUGAGAGAAAUGUGUAUCGUGCUGUUGUUGGGUGGAGUGCUCUGUAUGUGUCUGUUAGGUCCAACUGGUUUCUAGGUUUGUUCAAGUCUUCCAUUUCGUUAUUGGUCUUCUGUCUGGUUACUUAAAGUAGGGUAUUGAGUCUUCUACUAUUAUUACAGAGUUGCUUUUUCUUCCUUCAGUUCUUUCAAUAUUUGCUUCAUGUAUUUGGACUCUGAUUCCUGUUGCAUAUAUGUUUAUAUUUGUUACAUUUUCCUGGUGAAUUGACCCAUUUAUCAAUAUAUAAUGUCCUUCUUUAUCUCUUACAGUAGUUUUUGACUUAAAGUAUAUUUUAUCUGGUAUUUGUAUAGCCACCUCAGUUAUCAUUUUGUUACUAUUUGUAUAGAAUAUCUUUUUCCAUCUUUCACAUUCAAUCUGUGUCCUUAGAUCUUAAUUUCUUAUAGGCAGCAUAAAAGUAGAUCAUGCUUUUUUCUUUUUAUCCAUUCUGCCAGGCCAGUGUAUGCCUUUUGAUUGGGAAAUUUAAGCUAUUUACAUUUAAAGUAAUUAUUAACAGGGAAAGAUUUACUUAUGCCGUUUUGCUGUUUGUUUUCUGUAUGUAUUAUAGCCUUUUUUUGGUCCCUCUAUUACUGCCUUCCUUUGUAUUUAGUUGAUUUUUUUUUUUUUUGGUAGUGACAUGUUUUGAUUUCCUUUCCAUUCCCUUUUGUGUAUAUUCUACAUGUGUUUUGUUCAUGGCCACCAUGGGGAUUUAUAUCACCAUUCUAAAGUUAUAACAAUCUAUUUUGAAUUGAUACCAGCUUAACUUCAGUGACAUACAAAAAACUCUACUCCUUUACAAUUCUAUUUGCCCCCAACUUUAUGCUAUCGAUGCCAAAAAUUACAUCUUUAUAUCUUGUAUACUAGUUAACAUAGACUUUCUCCAUGUAUUUCCCUUAUCUUCCUGGGGCUGUGAGUAGCUUUAUAACAUCCUUGCACUUCAGCCUGAAGGAAUCCCUGCAACAUCACAUGUAGGGCACAACCAGUGGUAAUGAAUUCCUUGUUUUUGCUUAUCUGAGAAUGCCUUACUAUCUCCCUUAUUUUUGAAGGACAGUGUUGCUGAAUAUAGAAUUCUCACCUGAUAGCUUUUUUUUUUUUCCUCUCAGUACUUUAAAUAUAUCAUCCCAUUGACUUCUGGCCUCCAAGUUUUCCAAUAAGAAAUUUGGCUGAUAAUCUUACUGGGUAUUCUUUAAUAUACAAUGAGUAACUUUCCUCUUGCUGAUUCAAGAUUUUUCUCUUUGUCUUUCAACAGAUUAAUUAUAAUGUGUCUCAGCGUGGGUCUUUUUCGUUCUAUCCUACUUGGAACUCAUUGAGUUUUUUGAAUUCAGAUUCAUGUCUUUCCUUAAAUAUGAGGAGUUUUCAGCUAUUAUUCAAAUAAGCUCUCUGAUCCUUUUUCUCUUCUACUUCCAGGACUUCCAUAAUGCAUAUUUUGGUCUACUUGAUGAGGUUCUAUAAGUUUCUUAAACUCUGUUCACUUUUCUUUAUUCUUUUUUACUUUCUGCUCAUCAGGCUUAAUAAUUGCCAAUGUCCUAUCUUUGGGUUCAUUGAUUCUUUUUUUCCUGUUCAAAUUUGCUGUUGAACCCCUCUAGCUAAUUUUUCAAUUUAGUUACAGGUAUCUCACACUUUUUGAAAGUUAGCUUUAUGUCAUUUCACUUUUACAAAAGACCAAUAUUAGUAACUGUUAUUACUAACCAAAAGAAAUCAGAAGAGAAUAUUCACUUUUACAGAAAAAAAGUGAAAAUAGCCUUCAGCAUUUGUUUUGCAGUGAGCUAUUAUAGAGACAGUACUUCUCCAGGAACUACACUCAGCAUCUCAGCAUUAAGCCACCAUAGUUUUGAACUGUGUAUGUGAGCAUCUGUGCUUUAUCCUGAUUUAUUGUGUGUAUCCAUUAGCAAUAUGUAACCUAAGGUAAUUGUUUCUUCACUUUAUGUCACUUUGGCUUAUGAAAAAGUUUCACAGAAAUGCUCUGCUUUCAGGGAGUGGGGGAAACCUUAUUGUACUUUUCAGAUUCAGAAUUCCUCUUUGGUUCCUUUACAUAAUUUCUGUCUCUAUUCUCAUUGUGCUCAUAUGUUGCUUCCUGACUCUCCUUAGCUCUUUUCCCAGGCUUUCCUUUAGCUCUCUAAGAAUAUUUUAGAUGACUGUUUUCUCAUGGAUACAGAGAACAGAUUGCUGGUUGCCAGGGGCAAUGGAGAAAUGAGUAAAGGUGGUCCAAUGUCCUUCCAGUUGUAAAAUAAAUAUGUCCUGAUGAUGUAAUGUACACUGGUGAUGUAACGGGCACCAUGGUAACUACAGCUAACAGUACUGUAUAGUAUAUUUGAAAAUUAAGAUCUUAAAAGUUCUCAUCAUAAGAAAAAAUACAACUCUGAUGAUGGAUGUUAGCUAGCGUUAUUGUGGUGAUGAUUUUGCAAUAUAUACAUAUAUUAAAUCAUUAUGUUAUACACCUGAAACUAAUAGACUGUUAUAUUUCAUUUAUGUCUCAAUACCAAAUCAAACCAAAUUUUGGUAUAAACAUUGAAUUUCCUUACUAAAAUUUGAGAAAUUCAUCUCACUUAAUUGCUUUCUUCUUUGCAAUCACCCUCUGUGCUUUUCCAGUCUUCUAACUUCACUGAGGUUUUCAAUGGCUAAGUCAAAGCUCUCUUUUGGUAAAUGUCACAUUGCACCUGAAAAUAUGUGGGUUAUUUUCAGAUAUAUUUUGAUACUGAUUUCCAACAUUAUUACACAAUGACAAGAGAACAGACUCUGUAUGAUUUCAAUACUUUUAGACCAUGAAGUUUUUGCACCUUGUUUGAUGUCCCUGGAUAUAUUCCAAUGUCUCCUGGUUUGUAGUCUAUGGGAACAUGAAUAGAAUUUGUAUCCUGCUAUUGUGUGAAAAUUGUAUAAAUCUUAAUUAUGUUAAAUUGGUUCAGAAUGCUUUUCAGGUAUACUAUAUCCUUCUACUUUUCUGUCUAUUCAUUCUAUUAAUUUUUGAGAGUUUGAUAUUGAA
Long non-coding RNA from Cervus elaphus (red deer), 7049 nucleotides. RefSeq lists it as uncharacterized. The record is from RefSeq and is a predicted model, not a curated record. The transcript is spliced from 3 exons. NCBI's taxonomy places the organism in Eukaryota, Metazoa, Chordata, Mammalia, Artiodactyla, Cervidae.